This 216-nucleotide ribosomal RNA is filed under the name Glomeromycotina sp. RNAcentral's name for it is "partial small subunit ribosomal RNA". The stretch from base 40 to 216 matches the Rfam family "Eukaryotic small subunit ribosomal RNA", at positions 686 to 864 of the family's 1831-position model. The record is from RNAcentral. Lineage: Eukaryota; Fungi; Glomeromycota.
GGGUCAGUAGGUUGGUCGUGCCACCGGUACGUACUGGUCUCACUGAUUCCUCAUUCCUGAAGAACCGUAAUGCCAUUAAUUUGGUGUUGCGGGGAAACAGGACUGUUACUUUGAAAAAAAUAGAGUGUUUAAAGCAAGCUAACGCUUGAAUACAUUAGCAUGGAAUAAUGAAAUAGGACGAUCGAUCCUAUUUUGUUGGUUUCUAGGAUUGACGUA